AUCGCUUCUCGGCCUUUUGGCUAAGAUCAAGUCUAGUAUCUGUUCUUAUCAGUUUACUUUUACUAGAGAUCUCUAUUUCUCAUGUCUUCAAGUUACUGUCUAGUGUCCUACAUUUUAACUUAAAGGACUCCAUUUAAUAUUUCUUAUAGGGCAGGGCUAGUGGUAAUGAGCUCCCUGAGCCUUUGUUUAGCU
Neogale vison (American mink) is the source of this 192-nucleotide small nuclear RNA. RefSeq annotates it as U2 spliceosomal RNA. The transcript has a single exon. Lineage: Eukaryota; Metazoa; Chordata; Mammalia; Carnivora; Mustelidae. The record is from RefSeq and is a predicted model, not a curated record.